RNAcentral lists this ribosomal RNA (1242 nucleotides) under Triticum aestivum (bread wheat). RNAcentral describes it as "partial small subunit ribosomal RNA". Lineage: Eukaryota; Viridiplantae; Streptophyta; Magnoliopsida; Poales; Poaceae. The record is from RNAcentral.
AUGGUCAUUAGUAUAAUGUUCACCUUGACGCAAACAAGAUCAUGGAAGAAUACGGCAAAGCGAAGAAACGAUAACGGACGGUCCCCCGCGUCGCUCCUCCAGGGGCGACACGGGCGGAAGCCCCAAAUCGCCGCUGCCGGCCACCCCUCCUCUCCGCCCUCCCUCCUCGCCACCGUCGGAGGACAUGGCCGGGCGAAGCCCGUCGCAUGGACGGCGGUGGCGGGGCUUACCCAUCUCGCGCCGGCGCGGGUGGCCCCCUGUGUGGGUGUGGCGGCCGUUCUUGUGACAGCCAUGUUGGCUGGUCUUGGCGUGUCGGCUGGUGCCGUCCGGCGUGGAUCCGGGGCUUCUCGGCCCGGAUCUAGCGUCUGCCGCGCUUUCGGCUGCGAGGGUGUUGGUGUUGGCGCUGUUGCGCGUGGAUCCGUGUUCGUGCGCACACGGCGGUCCGGCUCGGCGGGCUUUCAAGCUGCUGCGCGCGAGGAGUUGUCGGUGCUUGUUGCUGUGGGGUGCGGGUGGUGGUGCUGGGCUCGGCCUGGGCAGGGUCUUGCGGCGUGGCUGCGGCGGGCCGGCGGCUGGAGUACCCCGACGACCUCGCCGGCGACCUCCAGCAGGACGGCGCUCGUGCGGCUGUUUGGUGGGCCGCCCCGUUUGGUCCUAGUGGUGGCUGCAUCGGGCGGAUCUGGAGCUGGAGCUCGUGUGGCAGCUUCGGGUGGAUCUGGUGGUGGCAUCUUCGUGCGGCUGGAUCCGGAGCUUCGGGGUGGCAGCCCGUGCUCCGCGCCUAGUGAUUUUGGUCUGGUGGUGUGCGUCGCACCGGCUGCGGCUCUUCGUGGGAGGUGCUGCAACAGCAAGGUUCGAUCCCCCCGCCUUCAGUCUGCACUGCGGGCGCUUCAGAUCUGGCCUCCAGCAGGCGUGCGGUGGCGCGCGUGGGGCGCGUCGGCUCGUCUGAUGUAUGGCUGCAGCCCGGAACCAUGGUGGUUCUUGGCCUCGUGCAGCGCCCCUCUGCUCCUUGCCAGCAUGGUGCUUGGUGGGGCACGGUGGCUCGCGUUGCGUCCGGCCGGCCAUUGGUGCAUCUGGCGUCUAGUGUUGAUUUUGGCCGUCGGUGGUCUCCGCGAGGUGCGGCUGGCUGAGGCGGUUCGUCGUGCUUCUUCAUCGUUGGAGGGUUCGAUGGCGGUGGUGGUCGGCUGCCGUCUUGCUGUAGGGAUGUGCUCAAACUCCGGGGUGAGAACCCUGCAUCGGCUCUGCUGA